UACGAAGGGGGCUAGCGUUGCUCGGAAUCACUGGGCGUAAAGGGCGCGUAGGCGGGAUGGCAAGUCAGUCGUGAAAUCUCUCGGCUCAACCGAGAAACGUCGGCUGAUACUGCCGUUCUUGAGGGAUGCAGAGGAGACUGGAAUUCCCGGUGUAGCGGUGAAAUGCGUAGAUAUCGGGAGGAAUACCGAUGGCGAAGGCAGGUCUCUGGGCUAUAACUGACGCUCAUGCACGAAAGCGUGGGGAGCAAACAGG
RNAcentral lists this ribosomal RNA (253 nucleotides) under uncultured bacterium. RNAcentral describes it as "partial 16S ribosomal RNA". It matches the Rfam family "Bacterial small subunit ribosomal RNA", at positions 524 to 776 of the family's 1533-position model. The record is from RNAcentral.